RNAcentral lists this ribosomal RNA (221 nucleotides) under uncultured bacterium. Its description in RNAcentral is "partial 16S ribosomal RNA". It matches the Rfam family "Bacterial small subunit ribosomal RNA", at positions 57 to 305 of the family's 1533-position model. The record is from RNAcentral.
GCAAGUCGAACGGAACCCUUCGGGGUUUAGUGGCGGACGGGUGAGUAACGCGUGAGAAACUGCCCUCAGGAGGGGGAUAACGGUUGGAAACGACCGCUAAUACCCCAUAUGCCGCGAGGUGAAAUGAAUUUCGCCUGAGGAUGAGCUCGCGUCUGAUUAGUUAGUUGGUGGGGUAAAGGCCUACCAAGACAUCGAUCAGUAGCUGGUCUGAGAGGAUGAUC